Molecule: long non-coding RNA, 433 nt
Organism: Camelus dromedarius (Arabian camel)
Lineage: Eukaryota; Metazoa; Chordata; Mammalia; Artiodactyla; Camelidae
Exons: 2
Source: RefSeq, a predicted model, not a curated record
UAAGGGUGGAAUUGUUGCAGGGGAACCAGUCAUGCCACUAGAGGGUUGGAACUGAAAGUUCCAAAGUCGGGUGAAGGGGACUGAACCAAUCACCAGUGGUCAACAAUUUAAUAAACCACGCCUAUUUAACAAAGCCUCGGUAAAAACCCAAAAGGAUAGGGUUCAGGGAGCUUCCGGCUUGGUAAACAUGUGGAGAUUUGAGGGAGCGCAGCCGCCAGAGAGGGCAUGGAAGCUCCGAGCCCCUUCCCACAGACCCUGCCUAUGCAUCCUUUUCAUCUGGCUGUUCCUGAGUUUUAAAAUUUCUGGGAGCAGAAUUUUGGGGACAAAAAAAUGUAUAUUUUAGGGUUUUUUGUUGUUAUUACUAAGUACCAAAUUGCAUUCAACUGGAUGUAAUUAAAAUCUAUAAAAAGUUUCAUAAAAAUUUGAAAUUCUA